UCUACAUUGGCUGGAUUUACCGUGUACGAGCUGGACUGUUUUGGACUUAUCUGUUGGCGUUUAGACCUGGACCUACCGAGAACCAGAUUUGUGUACCGAACCCUACUAUCCUUGACCUAUCGGUAGGAAUUGGUUUGCCUACAAAUGAUUAUACAUAGUUUUGACUAAAAGGGAGUAGGAAUUGGUUUGCCUACAUGAGAGGAGAAAGUUAAAGCUUAUUACAGAUCAGCUGACGACCACCUGGGGACCUGUUCCACCACAGUUAAAGAUCACCUGACGACCACCUGGGGACCUGUUCCACCACAGUUAAAGAUCAGCUGACGACCACCUGGGGACCUGUUCCACCACAGUUAAAGAUCAGCUGACGACCAC
Molecule: long non-coding RNA, 372 nt
Filed under: Salmo salar (Atlantic salmon)
Lineage: Eukaryota; Metazoa; Chordata; Actinopteri; Salmoniformes; Salmonidae
Description: lncRNA (ENSSSAG00000095202.1)
Source: RNAcentral